Long non-coding RNA from Myripristis murdjan (pinecone soldierfish), 1455 nucleotides. RefSeq lists it as uncharacterized. Lineage: Eukaryota; Metazoa; Chordata; Actinopteri; Holocentriformes; Holocentridae. The record is from RefSeq and is a predicted model, not a curated record. The transcript is spliced from 2 exons.
CGCUCAUCUUAGCGAGGUACGUGUGGUAAUCAACAUGGCAUUUACUGCCUUUGCAGUCACACCACACUGUCCUGACCAGCGGCCUACCAUGACUGGCACAAGCAUGGUGUAGAUGUGGAGAAGAAAGACCCAGGGCUUCAGUUUGUGUAUCUGAUACAUCUGAAAGACUAAUCCUAUCUGAGCCAAGACCCUUGAAAUUCAUCCAAUUACUGGCAGAAGACAGCAGAGAAACACGAGGACUGAAGGGAUCUGAAGGGAUUUGCAGCACCAAACUGAUAAAGGAACCAGUGUGUAAAAUGGCUGAUGCAGAUAGAGCCGAGGGGAACCAAGAAGUAGAGUCUCUGGAUGAAGAGGUUGGUGAAGAGGACUCCUUGCUCCACGUUUCCCAAUACUGUGAAGCCCGGCGUGCCCUGCCAUGGGAGCAGUGGACUCUCAGAGAGAAGGUUGUUUAUUACAUGGACCGCCUCUUCCUUGGGUUUUUCGUCAUUUUUGUGUUGAUGCUCCUCGGAGAAGCCAGUUACAAGGUGUGGUAUGUGACAGAUGUAAAGAAGAUUGCAGGCUUUAUGUCAGAUACAGCGAUAUGGCUGUUUGGCUGGCUCUUCACCCAGGAGGAACAUGAGGAGAUGAUUGAAUUGUAGGUGCUGUAAAACAUAUGCUCAAGCAAACUGUUAAGGAUGAUCACUAGGUUAAACUGUUACCUCUUUCUGUUUUUUCUACAUCGUUUAAUGCCCAUGAGGUAUUAGAUUCCUGCUGAAGAAUUCAUAUUAAGAAGACAUACAUGUAUUAUUGAUUUCUGAAUUUCAAUUCUGAUUGUGAAUUGAUGAAAUAAAGUAAAAUCUGCAUUUAAUGUAAGUGUAUCAGCGUAGCCCAGGAAAGGCUGCUGUAAUCUGCUUUUAAUCAUCUCUUGUAUCCCCACCUUCUGGUCACUCUCUGACAGUGUCCUGGUUUAACAUUUAACCAACUGGUGUCACUGUGCUGCCAAAAAGUAAUCUAUCUGUCUAUCUGUCAACCUGUCUAUCUAUCUAUCCCACAGAACCUUGGUUUUCAACAAUGUCUUGAUAUAUGACCCUAUGCUGAGGCUGAAAUACUUACGCCACCUUCAUAUUUAUGGAAAUUGUCACAAGUUGUUACUCUGGCUGCGGUUAGUCUUAAAUGUACAGCAGACUGAGGAGACUCACUGUCAGGUGACAAAAAAUAGUCGCUUGAUAACCUGCUAGUGUCUGUCAUUUAUUUGUAGUUUCAAAACCAUAAUCAUAAUUAUUACAGUCAUUUUCAAAAGUUCCAAGGAUGCCAUUUUCCUGUCAGGACAGAUCACUACAGUCUAGAGCCUGCACAAUUAAGGCUCAGACUGCACUCUGAUAACUUCAGACUACACCACUGGAAGCAACAGUGUUUAGAACAGUUCAAAGAUGGACGUAAUCGUGUCUAUUCCAUAUUUAAUGAGGGUGAAAGUAA